RNAcentral lists this microRNA (22 nucleotides) under Gallus gallus (chicken). RNAcentral describes it as "gga-miR-6596-3p". Lineage: Eukaryota; Metazoa; Chordata; Aves; Galliformes; Phasianidae. The record is from miRBase by way of RNAcentral.
CGGAGCUCGGACGGCGUCCCGA